UUAAAUAUGUCGCAAUGUAUUACGAUAAUUAGUAAUGGGUUUGUCCAUAUAGUUUUAAGUGUACAUGUGGAAGCUGUUGUGUCAAAAUAGGAAUAAUAUCAAAUUAAACUAUAAAAAACAUAUGUGAUUUAAUUGCACAAUGGACGCUUAGUACUUUCCAGCCUAUAACUUAUAAUGGACAACAUAAAGCAUAUAUUUCUAAAUUUUUGUUUUAUGUAUCUGGAUAAGAAUUUCAGUUUGAACAUGGUUUUAAUUUCAUUGAUCAACAUUCGCAUACUUUGAUAUUGGAGAAAAAAUGAGGACUGGAAUAAGAUCAGUUAAUUACUAAGUUAAUAAAAAUGCAAAUGAAGGUUUUGAAAGCAGCGAUUAUCGCAGCUGGAAUAAUAAUCAUUUUUUCCUUUUUGAUGAAUACAUUAUUCAGAAACAACUAUUAUUCCAAUGGAAAAGAUGCGUUUCAUAAGGUCACUAUGACAACCGUUGGAUUAUUGAAACCAAACUCUUUUGAAUCAUGGCUUUCGUUAUGGGGACCACACAUGUUAAUCUUAUCUAAUCGACAAAAGGCAAAGGGAUCAAAACUUGAAGGACACAUUUGGAGUCACAGAAAUAGUAACUUUUUACGUAAAUCACAACUUCUUGCUUAUUAUAGACAUAUCAUGAAAUAUAGACACACAAUCAGGAGAAUUUGUGAAAUAGGAUUUAAUGGUGGCCAUUCAGCUCUCAUGUGGGCUAUUCUCUUUAAAGGAAAUAUUGAUAUAGUGGUAUUUGAUACGUGCAUUGAUAAACGAUGCGAUAUCGGGGAAGAAUUAAUUCGUGAAAUGUUUCCAAAAAUCAGGCUCAAAGUUGUACGAGGAGAUUCAACAAAAACAGUUCCUAUAUAUCGUCAUAAUAAUCCUAAUGUAAAAUGUGAUUUUAUAUCAAUUGAUGGCGGACAUCUUGGCGAAGUACCGAAGACCGAUUUGCUAAAUAUGCAGUAUCUAGCGGCAGACAACAACAUAAUUGUAAUGGAUGAUGUCAACAUAAAGUCGAAUGCAACCUUCGAAAAAACAGUUGGAAAAGCCUGGAAAUAUGCAAUUACAAACAAACUCGUUAAACAAAUUGGAGAAUGCAAUCCCUGCACAACAGAUUUUACGACAACUUGUCAAUUUUGUUUCGGGAAGUAUUUAAAUAAUAUGAUUUAACUAGAUGAAGAGUUUUUGAUCAAUUCUGUAACCUUUAAAGAUGAUGUCUCCAAUAUUUUGACAUUUGUGAUUUCAAUUUGCAUUCAGAUGCCCAUGAAUUUCAUUGAUUGUUUUCAUUUUUUUUACUAUCAGUAUACUUAUAGUGAGAACGAGCUUUAACAUUACAAUUUGUCUCGCACAUAAAAAAAGGCAUGGUGGUUAUCCUAGACAAAGUAUUAAAAACACUCAAAUGACUUUAAGACUACAUUAAUUUUCGCACAAUUAACAGGAUUACAACAAUUACAUCAUGCUGAUACAUAUUUUUUCUGAUUUCAGUUUUUAAUAUCAUGUCAAGAGGACAAUACACAUUUGUUACUUUGUAAAGAUCACUUAAAAUGUUCUUUUCCCAUGGCAGUUUAUAAUCUUCCAGGCAAAUCUGGUGUGGGUUAAUCUGUUUAAUAUUUAUAUAUUAUUGUAAUUCCUGAUUUCAACCUAUCCAAUAUUACCACCCUGAUAAUCACUUAUUCUUAUUUGUAUGGUUAUGAAUUCUGGUUCAGUAAAUAUAUUUUAUAUUUAUUAUUAUUUUUUGUGAUACAACUCUUUAAAAUAAAUUCUUGGACAGACCAAAUUAUAACUUAGUAACAUUUGUGACAGUUUGCUUGUUAAACACAACUAUUCUAAAUUUUAAGAACCCCGCCCAUGUUAACUUAACGGUGAUGCUUAUAGAAACAUUUCAUCGGUUUGUUAUUUCAUCAAUAUAUUUAGAUAAAAAUCUUUCUUAAAACUUAACAACACAAAUAUAUGAUUCUCACAUUUCUUUUUAAGUUUAUAUAAAUACUAUUUACCAAACAUGUCUGUAUAUUCAAUAAAAAUAUUCAUAUUAUCA
Mytilus trossulus (common blue mussel) is the source of this 2043-nucleotide long non-coding RNA. RefSeq lists it as uncharacterized. The transcript is spliced from 2 exons. The record is from RefSeq and is a predicted model, not a curated record. Lineage: Eukaryota; Metazoa; Mollusca; Bivalvia; Mytilida; Mytilidae.